This 226-nucleotide ribosomal RNA is filed under the name uncultured bacterium. RNAcentral describes it as "partial 16S ribosomal RNA". It matches the Rfam family "Bacterial small subunit ribosomal RNA", at positions 15 to 230 of the family's 1533-position model. The record is from RNAcentral.
GAUCCUGGCUCAGGAUGAACGCUAGCUACAGGCUUAACACAUGCAAGUCGAGGGGCAGCAUGGUCUUAGCUUGCUAAGGCCGAUGGCGACCGGCGCACGGGUGAGUAACACGUAUCCAACCUGCCGUCUACUCUUGGACGAGCCUUCUGAAAGGAAGAUUAAUACAAGAUGGCAUCAUGGAGUCCGCAUGUUCACAUGAUUAAAGGUAUUCUGGUAGACGAUGGGG